UACGUAGGGUGCAAGCGUUGUCCGGAAUUAUUGGGCGUAAAGAGCUCGUAGGCGGUCUGUCGCGUCGGCUGUGAAAACUCGGGGCUCAACUCCGAGCUUGCAGUCGAUACGGGCAGGCUAGAGUUCGGCAGGGGAGACUGGAAUUCCCGGUGUAGCGGUGAAAUGCGCAGAUAUCAGGAGGAACACCGGUGGCGAAGGCGGGUCUCUGGGCCGAUACUGACGCUGAGGAGCGAAAGCGUGGGGAGCGAACAGG
This 253-nucleotide ribosomal RNA is filed under the name uncultured bacterium. Its description in RNAcentral is "partial 16S ribosomal RNA". It matches the Rfam family "Bacterial small subunit ribosomal RNA", at positions 524 to 776 of the family's 1533-position model. The record is from RNAcentral.